This 317-nucleotide ribosomal RNA is filed under the name uncultured eukaryote. Its description in RNAcentral is "partial large subunit ribosomal RNA". It matches the Rfam family "Eukaryotic large subunit ribosomal RNA", at positions 40 to 350 of the family's 3401-position model. The record is from RNAcentral.
AUAUCAGUAAGCGGAGGAAAAGAAAGCAACAGCGAUUCCUUUAGUAACUGCGAGUGAACCAGGAUAAGCUCAACACUGAAUCGGGUGGUGGUAACCAUCAUUCCGAAUUGUGGUGUUUCGAUGAAUCCAAGAGUUGGACUCUGUACUAAGUUUGUUGGAAAACAGUGCCAUAGAGGGUGACAGCCCCGUGAGUGUAGAGCAUUUCCGAUUCAAUAGGAUUUAUUCGUAGAGUCGUACUGUUUGAGAGUACAGUGCAAAUUGGGAGGUGAAUUUCUCCUAAAGCUAAAUAUUUGCUGGAGACCGAUAGCGCACAAGUA